RNAcentral lists this ribosomal RNA (490 nucleotides) under uncultured bacterium. RNAcentral's name for it is "partial 16S ribosomal RNA". It matches the Rfam family "Bacterial small subunit ribosomal RNA", at positions 30 to 507 of the family's 1533-position model. The record is from RNAcentral.
AUUGAACGCUGGCGGCAGGCCUAACACAUGCAAGUCGAACGGUAACAGGGAUCAGCUUGCUGAUUCGCUGACGAGUGGCGGACGGGUGAGUAAUGUCUGGGAAACUGCCUGAUGGAGGGGGAUAACUACUGGAAACGGUAGCUAAUACCGCAUAACGUCGCAAGACCAAAGAGGGGGACCUUCGGGCCUCUUGCCAUCGGAUGUGCCCAGAUGGGAUUAGCUAGUAGGUAGGGUAACGGCUCACCUAGGCGACGAUCCCUAGCUGGUCUGAGAGGAUGACCAGCCACACUGGAACUGAGACACGGUCCAGACUCCUACGGGAGGCAGCAGUGGGGAAUAUUGCACAAUGGGCGCAAGCCUGAUGCAGCCAUGCCGCGUGUAUGAAGAAGGCCUUCGGGUUGUAAAGUACUUUCAGCGGGGAGGAAGGGAGUAAAGUUAAUACCUUUGCUCAUUGACGUUACCCGCAGAAGAAGCACCGGCUAACUCCGUG